Molecule: ribosomal RNA, 472 nt
Filed under: uncultured bacterium
Lineage: Bacteria
Description: bacterial SSU rRNA
Rfam family: Bacterial small subunit ribosomal RNA
Source: RNAcentral
UGGGGAAUAUUGGACAAUGGGCGAAAGCCUGAUCCAGCCAUGCCGCGUGUGUGAAGAAGGUCUUCGGAUUGUAAAGCACUUUAAGUUGGGAGGAAGGGCAGUAAAUUAAUACUUUGCUGUUUUGACGUUACCGACAGAAUAAGCACCGGCUAACUCUGUGCCAGCAGCCGCGGUAAUACAGAGGGUGCAAGCGUUAAUCGGAAUUACUGGGCGUAAAGCGCGCGUAGGUGGUUCGUUAAGUUGGAUGUGAAAUCCCCGGGCUCAACCUGGGAACUGCAUUCAAAACUGACGAGCUAGAGUAUGGUAGAGGGUGGUGGAAUUUCCUGUGUAGCGGUGAAAUGCGUAGAUAUAGGAAGGAACACCAGUGGCGAAGGCGACCACCUGGACUGAUACUGACACUGAGGUGCGAAAGCGUGGGGAGCAAACAGGAUUAGAUACCCACGUAGUCCCUGAGCGGGCUGGCAAGGCGCAU